RNAcentral lists this small RNA (367 nucleotides) under Kluyvera ascorbata. RNAcentral describes it as "cspA thermoregulator". It matches the Rfam family "cspA thermoregulator", at positions 1 to 375 of the family's 428-position model. The record is from RNAcentral. Lineage: Bacteria; Pseudomonadati; Pseudomonadota; Gammaproteobacteria; Enterobacterales; Enterobacteriaceae.
UUUAUGUAUGGCAUUAUCAGUAAAGAAGUUCUGAGUAAACACGUUGACGUUGAAUACCGCUUCUCUGCCGAACCUUAUAUUAGUGCCGCAUGCAGUCAUGUCUCAGUUUUAUCUAUGAAAACGCCUGCGGGCGCAGAAAACACUCUAAGGAAUUUUGCAAAUGGCAAAGAUUAAAGGUCAAGUUAAGUGGUUCAACGAGUCUAAAGGUUUUGGUUUCAUUACUCCUGCUGACGGCAGCAAAGAUGUAUUCGUACAUUUCUCUGCAAUCCAGGGUAACGGCUUCAAAACUCUGGCUGAAGGUCAGAACGUUGAGUUCGAAAUUCAGGACGGUCAGAAAGGCCCAGCGGCUGUUAACGUAACCGCUAUC